UCUUCGUAGGUGAACCUGCGAAGGGAUCAUUACCGAGUGAGGGCCCCUGGCCCGACCUCCAACCCUUUGUUGAACUUCCGCGUUGCCUCGGGGGCGACCCGGCCCUCCUGGGCGUCGGGGCCCCCGGUGGUCCAUCUCAACCCUGCAUCUGUGUGUCUGAGUAAAUAUUUGAAUCAAUCAAAACUUUCAACAACGGAUCUCUUGGUUCUGGCAUCGAUGAAGAACGCAGC
RNAcentral lists this unclassified non-coding RNA (230 nucleotides) under uncultured fungus. RNAcentral describes it as "sequence contains ITS1, 5.8S rRNA gene". The stretch from base 182 to 230 matches the Rfam family "5.8S ribosomal RNA", at positions 1 to 49 of the family's 154-position model. The record is from RNAcentral. Lineage: Eukaryota; Fungi.